Molecule: small RNA, 354 nt
Filed under: Drosophila mojavensis
Lineage: Eukaryota; Metazoa; Arthropoda; Insecta; Diptera; Drosophilidae
Description: GI26793
Source: RNAcentral
GCUGAUCAUCUUCGUUGGAUUUUUGGCCGCUUAGCAGGUAGGUUUAUUAGCAUCUCCAGGGACAGUUGAAAGCCUCGUUGAUCAUUUUCGUUGGAUUUUUGGCCGCUUUGCAGGUAGGUUUAUUAGCGUCUCCAGGGACAUUUGAAAGCCUCGUUGAUCAUUUUCGUUGGAUUUUUGGCCGCUUAGCAGGUGAGUGUAUGUUGUGAACUUUUGCUGGUUUCUAUUUAGCUACUAAUUAGAUGAUUCUUUUUACUUUUCUCAUUUCAGGUAGGUUUAUUAGCAUCUCCAGGGACAGUUGAAAGCCUCGUUGAUCAUUUUCGUUGGAUUUUUGGCCGCUUUGCAGGUGAGUGUAUA